RNAcentral lists this ribosomal RNA (185 nucleotides) under uncultured bacterium. RNAcentral's name for it is "partial 16S ribosomal RNA". It matches the Rfam family "Bacterial small subunit ribosomal RNA", at positions 1315 to 1500 of the family's 1533-position model. The record is from RNAcentral.
CCUGCAUGAAGCCGGAAUUGCUAGUAAUGGCAGGUCAGCAUACUGCCGUGAAUACGUUCCCGGGCCUUGUACACACCGCCCGUCACACCAUGAGAGUUGGGGAUACCCAAAGCCCGUGAGCCAACUGUAAAGAGGCAGCGGUCUAAGGUAGAAUCAAUGAUUGGGUGAAGUCGUAACAAGGUAAC